GUUGAAAAGCUCUUCUCCUAAAGCUGCCGCCACCUGGACGCGUAAUUCGGAGUGAAAAAAUUCACCCGCCGGCUGCUCUCAUCGGGAGGGAGUCAAGCACUGGUUCUCGCUCAAAAACACUCGGGAAACCAGCCUCAGAGGAGCAUGUGAUGACGGUGAUCUCAAAAAGGUUAUUCCCAGGGAUUUGGCUGUUCUAGGAAAUCAAGGAAACAGUCCCUUGGCAACCUGCAGUCACUCACAUAGAAACUGCUCAUUAUGGACUUGGGCGUCUCAUGCAACUGCCCUGUGUUUGCCAGAGAGGAUUGUGACACAUCUUACCCCAAGUGCCUGGGUGGAUGAUCAUAUUUAUUGUUUUUAAACAAUAAUGCAAAUGCAAAUGCAUUUGUUGCAGCUUCAUCUGCAGUUCUCUGGUGUGUCUAUUCCUUGUCAAGAUGAAAAAUUUGCAAUGUCUAUUUAAAAAUUAAAAAAAAAAAAAAAAAAGGUCUGAUUUCCCAAUGCAGGAUAAAUCAAAAAGCAACAAAAAAUCUUUGCUCAAUGUUUUCAGUCUUGUUUUAAGCAGCAUUCAGCACAAAUAAUUAUGUUUUUCAUGGCCAUAGCUUAAGUAGUUGUUCAGGCUUUAGUUCUGUGGGUGGAUUGUGUGUUCACUGUUUGGACAUGUGGAUCAGAAGUAUUUAAAUAUUUAUGAAUUCUGGAAGAGAAAAAAUCUCACUUAAAUAUUCCCUUAAGCAACCAAUCCUUUCUCUCCUGCUAAAGAAUUAUCUAUCCUUUGCUUCUGGCUGAGUGGUUUUGUGCAUGGAAUCUGCAUGGGAGACUUUUUGGCACGUUUCUAAAGCAGCAGCUUCUCCCAUGGGGUGUGUUAAGGAGACACCCAGCAGAUAAACAAACCUUUGGGAGGAUCACAUGGCACAAACUCGGAGCUCUUUGGUGUUCAUUUGGUCUAACCUGGCAUGUUGUUUAUGCCUUGGUAACGUGGGGAUAAUAAGUGUAAUUAUGUCAGGGGCGUGAUUAUGGUAGUGCUAGGCCUGCUGACUAACACCAGGAUUCAAGGAAUUGUAAAUUGGUUUAUUAUUGUCCCAGGUAUCCUGUUAAGAAUGGUUCAAAGAGAAACAAUAACUAUAAAUUAACACUUCCUUACAACUUUGGAAAUAUAACUCUCAGAAAGGCCGUUUAGGAUAGAAGGAAUGUUCCAAUUAAAGAGCACAUGAGGACUGUAAAUUCAGAGAUUCUCAGAGAAAGGAAAUGUUACUUUUGCUACAUUUGUGUGUCGUUACUUUGAGGCCAAGCCCAGUGGAAAACUAAGCCUUGCUUAGUACAAAGGCAGCAGCUGCCCUUCUGCUGGGCAAAGCACUGAGAACUGGGUGAAAGAACUCAGGGGGUUUAGAAAAUUCAAGUGAGAAACAGAAUCUGCCUUGAACAAAAAGAGCAGGACAAAGACACCUUGUAAUCUCCAGAGAGGGCUCUGCCGGACAAUCCUGUGGGCGUUCACUGUAGCUGUGAUACCACUAUCUACAACCCCCAUGUGUUUUCUUUUUCAGUUGCAUUGCAAUGGAUCGAUACAGAGCCUGAUUCAUGCUUUCUUGGCUUUGCUAAAUGCCUACUCAAAUCCUGUAGCUAUGCUCUGAAUUAAUCUGCUUACCCAAAGGCAUUGCUGGAAAAUGGUUGUCCUUAGAGAUUCCAGCCCCCUUCGCCUGGGAAUGAUAGAGCCAUCAGCAUCUGCAGUGGUAUUAGCAAGAAGCUUGACAGGCUCUGAAAUUAGGAUAAACUGGGCCAGAAUCACUCUGCUUACCCCUCAAUAUCCCCAGCAAAUUAGCACCUCUGAAAAGCAGGGAGUUUUGAGAUGGGAAGUCAGGAGCAAAGCGAAUUUGGGGUGGUGUCGGGAUGCCAGAGGUGUUACCAAGUUCAGAGCACCAAGAGCUGGAUGUGCACAGCACCUCAGCAUCACAGCAGCUGCAGCAGUAUGAGUGCAGCCGUAGCUAGUCCUGCCAACAGCCCAGGGCACCUGACCCGAUCCUGCACUGCACAGAGCAAGGGAUGGCAUCCACCAGCUCUCCAGGGGCUUUUCAGAGAGCAGCUGGUACCAUCAGAGUUAUUUUGCAGAGUAUCUCCUUCAGGUGCCCUCACUGUGAUUUUUUGAUGUUAUAUAUUCACUUAGGUAGUCCUAUUUUCUCACUAGAUUCCCAGACUCUGCCUUUUUCUCUGUGCAAAGCUUUCUAUUUCUUUCAGGCUGGCCUCAGUCUUUGCUGUGGAAAUGUGCAAGAACAUUUUCCUGUGACAAGACUAAAACUCAGAACUAAAGAUUAAGAACUGGGCGUGCAUACAAUCUUACUUCCCCCCUGCAUACUCUCCAUUUUCUUAAUUCACAGACAGACAUCCUGAGUCACAGGCUAUUUAGUUCUGUUUAAUACUGCUAAAUGGGUAUUUCAUGUCCUCAAUUAUCUGCUUUUUAAGCUCAUUAUGUUCUGGCCUCGUGUUCUGCAGCGGUAAUUUCUGAUUCAUGCACAGUGUGAAAAGUUGUUCCCUUUUGAUUGUUGGUAACUUUUUAUCUGGGAAUUUUUUUAGUGACCUGAGUUCUUCCGUGUGAGAAAUAACAAGGCCUCUUUGACAUCUAUAAUUAUACAGACUUGUGUGGUCUACAAAAAUCCUGCUGAUUCUUCCUGUUUUAUCAGAACCACUGAAGUUUCUGCUAGCUUGAAUGGGGAAGGUGCCAUCAAGUUAUAAAGAUGGAUGAAAGUUUGGGACUGAUAGCAUCCCUCCUUUUGAAUGCAAGAGAGCAUCUUUCUUCACCCAGAUGCUGACUUUCACCAAAUUUGUCACAUGUAAAUGUCUUUGAAUCAUACUUUUGAUGAGAGUCGGCCACAUGUUCAGACUCAGAGAAUGAAAUCCAGAAGUUAUCCAAUUCCAAGUACUGAAGCAGUAAUCAAUUCAGUGAGACUUCCUCUGAUGGUACAGGCUACACUAAUACAGGGCAAGAUUCUGAAAUACUAACUAUUUUCUCUUUGUUGCUUUUGAGAAGAAAUAAAGGUCUAAUGCAAUUCAGGAGAAUGAAUCAAAUAGUUUCACAGAGCUGCAAAAUGUAAUGCUGUCAACCCACCUCCCUGAGAAACCAUUCCUUUAGCAACCCACGCUAUUUAGUGUGUUCUUAGAUCUUCUGUAGAGCCUUGAAUCCUCCCUAAAUUUGACAGCAUUGUUCUGCAGCUGUGGGAAGGGUGAUGCUUAAAAUUUCCUAAGUUUCAAUGGGAAUAAAACUUACUGCCUUAAAUGACCACAUCUCCUCUUCCUCCUCAGCAUGUGCAAGAAGGAAAAACAUAACUGUAGAAUCUCAAUGUUUUCCUCAAAUGUUAAUGAGUUUGCUGUGAAUGGAUAUUUCAUAAAUCAAAUGUUGGCUCAAUCUGUGUGCCUAUCAAAACAAUUUAAAUGUGGGCGUUAUAGUAGAUGGGUUUGUGUUUGGAUUUAGUCAUCAAGCCAAGACUGACCUGACCUUUCAUGCCAGCAGACAACUGACAGACUUAACCCCGAAUUCUACCUGAUUCUGUGCUUUGGUACUGAACAUUGUAACUUUAUCCAUCACAUUUUAGUUUGAGAUGGGGGGUGUUUUUGUCAUAGGACACAUCAGUUCAUAUACUCAUAUUUUAAUUCCCAACAUUUUGUAUUUUAAAAGAACUUUGCAGCGAUGAUGCAAGUUUCCAAGGCUGAUUUCCUCAUAGCAAGUAUUUACGUGUUUUAGUUUCUUAUUAUCAUUUCAGAUUAAAACUUCACAACUACCAACUAAGAAUAAUUUAUCUGAAAAUUCUUUCAUUUUUAAAAUAUAUCAGUGAAAAUACUUUUUAAAGCUUAAUUUAGACUGAAAUUUGGAACUUUUUUCCAUGCAGUUUUAUUGGUGGAGGUUUAGAGCUUAAUUGCCCAACUUAAAAAAUAAAAGCUCCUUUCAGAGAAACAGUUGAUAGGUCUUCAUGCCCUAAAGAAUCAGGCUAUGACACAAAAAUAAAACAAAAAAUAACACAAAAUUGUGAGAAUAACAGGCUCACAAUUUUGUAUGUGUCACUCGUGUUCCCUUAGGUAAGCAGUCUGGGAGUUUGGAGCACGAAGGACAAAUUUAGCUCCUGUCCACACAAAGUUUGGCUGCACUCCUGAAAUCUGAUCUGUGUGGGUGUGACUCAUAUUCUGCAAGACCGUCCCCUUGCUGAGGGGCUGCUGAGCAGGUGCGGGGCUCUUCCCACAUGGAUCACGUCCCUGGAUUUGGAUCCUGGAGACAAGUGCUAUAACCAGGUCACCUCCCCGUGCUGGGGAUUCAGCUAUAAAGUCAUUAAUCACUCAACCACCAGAAUAAAGCCCUUGAAGAAGCCCUCUUUGUGCCUGUCUUGCCCUGUAGACUUCCAAAUAUAAUCUGUAGUGCUAAAAAGAAGAAAUUUCCUCAUAGCCAGUAAAAAGGAAAAACUGGGAGAUUAAGCCCUCCAAAAGGUUUUAGUAUAUUUAGACAUUAUGUAAAUAAGGGCUGCAAAAAAGACCCUGAAGAUGAUUGUACAGCUUUGAAGUAGAGGAAACAAUCCCCUUAAUUUUCAUUCAUAAAUGAGAAGUAAAUGCAAUUUAGGAAAAGAAAACAUUCUAUGGGAAUGAGAAAAAAAGGAAGACUAGUGAAAAAGUUUAGAAGUUUAUCAUUUUGCCUGAAGAAGAAAAC
Taeniopygia guttata (zebra finch) is the source of this 4675-nucleotide long non-coding RNA. NCBI's taxonomy places the organism in Eukaryota, Metazoa, Chordata, Aves, Passeriformes, Estrildidae. The record is from Ensembl.